RNAcentral lists this ribosomal RNA (468 nucleotides) under uncultured bacterium. Its description in RNAcentral is "partial 16S ribosomal RNA". It matches the Rfam family "Bacterial small subunit ribosomal RNA", at positions 28 to 507 of the family's 1533-position model. The record is from RNAcentral.
GACGAACGCUGGCGGCGUGCUUAACACAUGCAAGUCGAACGGAAAGGCCCUGCUUUUGUGGGGUGCUCGAGUGGCGAACGGGUGAGUAACACGUGAGUAACCUGCCCUUGACUUUGGGAUAACUUCAGGAAACUGGGGCUAAUACCGGAUAGGAGCUCCUGCUGCAUGGUGGGGGUUGGAAAGUUUCGGCGGGUGGGGAUGGACUCGCGGCUUAUCAGCUUGUUGGUGGGGUAGUGGCUGACCAAGGCUUUGACGGGUAGCCGGCCUGAGAGGGUGACCGGCCACAUUGGUCCUGAGAGACGGACCAGACUCCUACGGGAGGCAGCAGUGGCGAAUAUUGCACAAUGGGCGGAAGCCUGAUGCAGCAACGCCGCGUUCGGGAUGACGGCCUUCGGGUUGUAAACCGCUUUCGCCUGUGACGAAGCGUGAGUGACGGUAAUGGGUAAAGAAGCACCGGCUAACUACGUG